AGAGGACAGUCUCACGGUCCCCAAGCCCAGAGACCACUGGGAGGGGAGCAAGUGGGGUCUGGACCACCGACCUUAGCUUCACCUCAACCCCCAAGAACACCUGCCCCGUUGGAGGCAGACUGGAGCUGGCUGUGGAUUUUAUUUCUCAGGAGAAGGAGGUGGGAGCUGGAGAGAGUGACCCGUGCAUCUUUCCAGCUUUUCCUUGGCCACCUGGGUGGCAUGGGAGCUGGGAGUCAGAGUUCUGCUGAGCUGUAGGACCAAAGGCCACUGGCUCCGCUGCACCUGCGGACUGAGACACCCACCUGCUGAGUGAGACCCAGCCUCUGCGUGCUUAGGGGUCCCCUGCUACAGGGCAUUGAGGUGAGGUCCGCCUUUGCCCAGUGUGAGAGCGCUGCUUUCAGAGCUUUGAGAAGGCUGUUAUCAUUUGUUUCUUUUUGAACUUGCCACCUCCCCACUUAGAGAAUAUUUCUGGGGACAGAGUUUCGUAACUCCUGCCGCAUAGUUGGUGCCUGCUCUCGACUACAUUAAAUCUAUUUUCAGUGCC
RNAcentral lists this long non-coding RNA (544 nucleotides) under Homo sapiens (human). Its description in RNAcentral is "non-protein coding lnc-RIPK4-4:1". Lineage: Eukaryota; Metazoa; Chordata; Mammalia; Primates; Hominidae. The record is from RNAcentral.